Zea mays is the source of this 2004-nucleotide long non-coding RNA. RefSeq lists it as uncharacterized. The record is from RefSeq and is a predicted model, not a curated record. The transcript is spliced from 11 exons. Lineage: Eukaryota; Viridiplantae; Streptophyta; Magnoliopsida; Poales; Poaceae.
GCGUGAUUCCCUUCCCAGCGCCCGCAUUCCCCGCUGCCAUCCUCACUGCCGCAGCGCCCCCGGUCCCCAAAUCGGCUGCGGCCGCGCGCAAAUCCGCCGAGCCCCCAGUCCCCAAAGCUGCAACGUCCGGAAAGCUGCAACGCCGCGCCAUCAAUGCCCCGCAGUCCCCGCCGCGAGGACGCAGCCGAGGACAGCUGGAACGCCCGCAAAACCGACGCGCCAGCAAGGCCCGCAACUCCGCAACGCCAGCAAUCCGCGCGGAUGGAAGGUUGCGCCACCAAAUCGCGUGGAUGGAAGGUCCACCUCCUCCUCCUCUCCCCAAAUCGCGCAUCCGCCGUCAAUGGAAGGUCCCGCGGAUCCACCAAAUCAUGUGCUGAAAAAAGCUGUCAUCCAAAACUCAAUGAUCCACCAAAUCAUGGAAGGUCCCGCGGAUCUCAAGUGGCAUCCCUACUACGUCGGCGGACCUGCAGGUGGAGCUUGAGGCGGAGAGCGACAUGCGGCGGGCGCUGCCAGUGAGGCCAUGCCCAAGAUCCUGCACCUCCAGUAGGGCAAGUCCGAGGCAAGGAUGGAAGCGCACCAGUAUCGGCGCUACGCCGAGAAGCGAUUCGCGCACGACGCGCUCGACCACCGCGACGCCGCGGUCCGAUCGCUCGUCGCCAGGCUUCGGGCGUGCCAGGCUGGUUAGUUCAAGAUAAAGGGAGAACCUGAAGAUCUUGGAUCUUUUAUCAACAAUUUACUUGGAAAGAUGGGGCUUGGAACACAUUCUGAUAUUAUGUCUAUGAUUACAGAGAUGCUGGAUGGAAUGCCCCCUGGACUUGAAGAAGCGCUUGUACUAUCAAAGGUGAUAAAAUCCAUUGACGUGCAAGAGGCCGAUAUACUUAGGCGUAUAGUGUUGGAUGCUCCAUCCACUGGACAUACACUUAAGCUUCUGUCAGCUUCUGAUUGGAUUGAAAUGUUCCUUACUUUGAGCAUUAAGGGCAUAAAUGUGGCUUCGUCCAUGCCAUCGUUUAAUAUGUAUCUUGAGGACGUGCAAUUCAUCUCUGCCAGGCUAGAAGAACUAAGGCAGCAGGUUCGCAGAGUGCAUGAGAUUUUGUUUGAUCCACAAUCAACAUAAUUCAUCGUCGUGACAAUUCCAACGGGGGUGCAUGGCCUAGGGGGAGGAUGGCGACUAGGUUCAUCGAUGGCGGCAAGCACCUCGUGUUCGACCACGCGACACAGUUCUUCACCGCGAGCAUCCGCACCGCUGCAGGUGCUGCACAUCAUCGGCAGAGAGGAUCGAGUUCAAAUCGAUGAUGCAAGGCGACUGCAUCGUCGAGCUGUAACACCUGCAGCGGUGCGGAUCAAUGAGGGGAUUUUUUUGCACAGGGCCAGGGUAUUACCCCAUGACCUGGUGAAAGGGACCACUAAGUCGUAAUACAACCAUUGUAACUCUGAAGAUAAUUAGUCAUCUAACAUUUGAUUAUUCAACUAGAUAGAUGAUGCCUCCUUAUGGGACACCACCACCAUAUGCAGCAAUGUAUGCACAAGGUACACCAUAACAGCAGGCACCAAUGCCACCGGGUUCACACCCAUACAGUUCUUAUCCUAUGCAGUCACCAAACGGGACAGUUCAAACUCCAAUAAGAAUCUCUUGGCUGCUCACCUGUUGAGUUUUCCCCAUUUCAAAAUCGUCCUGCUCGCAUAUUCCCCGAUUCAAAAUCGCCCAAUGGAGUAGAGAAAUCUGGAGGGGGCUCGUGGAGAUCCUGGGCCAUUAUUUGCAGACCAUAGUGACAGCUUGUUGGAUCACUUGGGCGCUUGGGUUAUCAAUGGGGAGUAAUUCCACAACAUGAGUCUCCAACAAUGGGUCAUUUGGUUUACUUGCUAACAAAAAUAAUGGUAGUAUGUCUUUUGUCUGAGCAACUUCUGUUGUGGUUAUUGUUUAUAAUAAUGGCCUACAUGUAGUAUUCAUUUUCUCUGUAGUAUAAUAAGCCCAUUAAAACAAUUGAAUGCCAUUGUCCGUGCAUC